AUGAUGAUUUGGGUGACACUUUUGGAAAGGGGAAAUUUUUACUCCAUGGACCUUGGCAAGUACAAGAACUCUACUCUCCUGGACUCCAGCAAAGCAGUGACCAUAGAUAAGAUACCACAGAUCUCAAAUCUUUCAGCAAUAUUAGAACCUGUACCAGAGGAUUUUCCAGACCGAUGCAUGCCAAGAAAGAGAUCAUCAAAUUGCUGUUACAGUUCUUCAGCAGGAAGCAUUUCAACUGCACUGGCAGGAAAAAACCUCUGUAAAAUAACAGCUGCAAGAGAGAGAACUCCAGACCUAAAAAGUGGUAUGCACUGUUCUUCACCAUUAGGACCGGAAAGCAAGCACCAUAAACAAACAGCUAAAGGCAAAAGGCGGAAGAAAGGAAAAAGCAGUUUUGAUUCCUUAGAAGACGGUUCAUCAUUGUUUAGGCAGCUUGAUGCUCCAGAAGACACGUCAGUCAGAUCAAAGGGGUUGACAGCAGAAGUUCUGCCAACCAAAUGCACAGAUGCUGUGGAGCAAAUGACUUCCACCAUGCUAAUCAUGGAGGAAAACAAAGUCCUAAAAAAUCCUGGUAAUGCUCAGCCUCUAGAGCUAGAUUUUAGCUUGUCGCCGGUGUAUAAAGCCUCACCUGGGGAAGACCUGUUCCUGAAUACCACAGGUCCAUUUGUAAAUUCAGAAGAAAUUCGUCCUGUGUCUCUGAGCUCAGAAAAAGAAAUUAUUCCUCAAAGUCCAGAAGAAAAGAAUAUUUUAAAGCCUCUGUGUGACAGACAAGAAAUCUGCUCAAUUGUUAGAAUGUCACCAGGCCAGAGGCCUUCCCAGCUCCAGCAAGUUCCAAUUAACUGGAAAGAGUUCUGCCUUCCCAAAGGAGUACCUGAAGAUACUAUUACAAGUACCAAAAAUUGGAUCUACUGUAAACAAAGAUGAGAUUUUUGGCUCUCAGCAGGAGUUCACAGAAGAAAUAACCAUCUUGCUGCUGUGGCAAGGUGGUAAAACAAAACUCCUAACUAGUGAAUAAUGGUUGUAAUUUUUUUUAUGUAUGUUGUUUGAAAUUUAGUAUUACGUGUUUCAGUAAGCUAGUAAAUACUCAAAUACUUUAUAUUAAAUUAUUUUGUACAGCAGCUAGAUCCUGUUCUGGGCAUUAUCCUGUAAGGAUUCCAUAAAGAUGAUUCUUCAGUUUGUUUUGAUUUUUAAAAAGUGUGACUGAAGACCAGCAGACCAAAUUGCUUUAAUAGAAUUACUUUUGUCUCUCUCUCUGCCAAGAUUUCUCGUUUCCUCUAGUAGCAUUAGCAUCUACAGAUGUUAACUCUUUAAGUGUUAAUAUGGGUUAUGAAGGUAGCUGCAUAUUCUGGAAGUGACUAUAAAAGCAUUCAUGUACUCUAAUGGUGACAUACACAUUGACUUCUGGGUCCCCAAAACUCCUUGAAUGCUUAGAUCUACAGAACUUUGAAGGUACAGAACUGUGUGUUCUGCUGUAAUUUGAUUUCUGAACAUGAAUGCAGGUCACCUUCACCCCAUCAUCACUCUGAAUUGGCUCCUAAUGGUCAGCACUGUCACCAUUCUGGGCACAUCCACUGCCCAGCCAUUACCAUUUCAGAGUCCUUCCUGUUUCAUCUCAGGUAUGUUGUAGUACCACAUCUCGUGGUCAUUGUUUCUUCUAGUGGCUUCAGAUAAAGUAAAUGCCUUACAUGAAUGCCCACAAUGGUGGGAAAAAUCCUUUUAUAGCUGAACUGUUUGAAGAGAUGGAUAUUGACAUUCUGGAAUUUCAGGUUACUGCUCACACUGUGUCUGCACAAGUCAAAUUCACAGAGCUUCCUGUUCAGCUUGUGGAUUGUUAAUUCAUAAAUGUUGUUCUUAAUGUGCUGAAUGUCUCAGAAAACAUUGUCAAGAACAUAUUUUUUUCCACUAGAAUUCAUUGCACAUUAAAGUAAUUUGGACUCCUACGGUGUUCUUACUACAAUCGUUUACUCAGAUUUUAUCUGAACAAAAAAAAUUUUUCAAUGUUUCAGAAUGCUGGUAUGGCUUCCAAAAGUCUGAGUUUGUUUCUCAGUGUUAUCACCCUGGAAAAUAAUUUUGUAUUUCCAAAAAGAGCAUGACAAGAAGACAUACAAAAUCCACAACUGUAGUUUGCAUUUGAAAAUACCUGUGAAAGUUCAAACCCUGAUCUUUUCUCCAUUGCUCUGGGGUAGAAGGAAGUGCAAAUAAUUGCUGCUGGAUUAGUUUGUGAACAAGUAUUAUAUAAACAUUCUAAAUGGCUCACAGUAAAAAAUUAUGCCAUUAAGCUAUUUUUCUUUCAAGCAUUAGUAGAAUGAGUUCUGCCAAUAACUCCUUGGAGUCCUGUCAGGUAUGCUUUUAAUUAUCAAUAUCCUUGUUCUUGCAAGUCUACUAAAGUCACUAGUAAUUAUGCGAGAAUCUAGAGCCCCUAGGAGACAGAGGUGAGCUCCUUGAUGUAGCUUUAAGCAAAAUUGAAGGUUACAUAUUUAGUAAGUUGUGCUUAUGAUGAUUAUUCAAGUAAAAGAUGGACCAGAAUAAAGAUAUGUUUAUUGUAAGGGUAUUCUGGAAG
This is a long non-coding RNA of Parus major (Great Tit), 2560 nucleotides long. Ensembl annotates it as meiotic kinetochore factor. The record is from Ensembl. NCBI's taxonomy places the organism in Eukaryota, Metazoa, Chordata, Aves, Passeriformes, Paridae.